This 108-nucleotide ribosomal RNA is filed under the name Intsia bijuga. RNAcentral's name for it is "partial 28S ribosomal RNA". It matches the Rfam family "Eukaryotic large subunit ribosomal RNA", at positions 1 to 109 of the family's 3401-position model. The record is from RNAcentral. Lineage: Eukaryota; Viridiplantae; Streptophyta; Magnoliopsida; Fabales; Fabaceae.
GACCUCAGCUCAGGCGGGGCUACCCGCUGAGUUUAAGCAUAUCAAUAAGCGGAGGAAAAGAAACUAACAAGGAUUCCCCUAGUAACGGCGAGCGAACCGGGAAGAGCC